RNAcentral lists this transfer RNA (71 nucleotides) under Cairneyella variabilis. RNAcentral describes it as "tRNA-Asn". It matches the Rfam family "tRNA". From Rfam's summary of the family: Transfer RNA (tRNA) molecules are approximately 80 nucleotides in length. Their secondary structure includes four short double-helical elements and three loops (D, anti-codon, and T loops). Further hydrogen bonds mediate the characteristic L-shaped molecular structure. tRNAs have two regions of fundamental functional importance: the anti-codon, which is responsible for specific mRNA codon recognition, and the 3' end, to which the tRNAs corresponding amino acid is attached (by aminoacyl-tRNA synthetases). tRNAs cope with the degeneracy of the genetic code in two manners: having more than one tRNA (with a specific anti-codon) for a particular amino acid; and 'wobble' base-pairing, i.e. permitting non-standard base-pairing at the 3rd anti-codon position. The record is from RNAcentral. Lineage: Eukaryota; Fungi; Ascomycota; Leotiomycetes; Helotiales.
CUCCUAUUGAUUUAAUGGUCGAACUAAAUAUUAUUAAUAUUUAGGUCCAAGUUCGAAUCUUGAAUAAGAGU